RNAcentral lists this ribosomal RNA (711 nucleotides) under Enterobacter hormaechei. Its description in RNAcentral is "bacterial SSU rRNA". It matches the Rfam family "Bacterial small subunit ribosomal RNA", at positions 47 to 746 of the family's 1533-position model. Lineage: Bacteria; Pseudomonadati; Pseudomonadota; Gammaproteobacteria; Enterobacterales; Enterobacteriaceae. The record is from RNAcentral.
CCUAACACAUGCAAGUCGAACGGUAACAGGAAGCAGCUUGCUGCUUCGCUGACGAGUGGCGGACGGGUGAGUAAUGUCUGGGAAACUGCCUGAUGGAGGGGGAUAACUACUGGAAACGGUAGCUAAUACCGCAUAACGUCGCAAGACCAAAGAGGGGGACCUUCGGGCCUCUUGCCAUCGGAUGUGCCCAGAUGGGAUUAGCUAGUAGGUGGGGUAACGGCUCACCUAGGCGACGAUCCCUAGCUGGUCUGAGAGGAUGACCAGCCACACUGGAACUGAGACACGGUCCAGACUCCUACGGGAGGCAGCAGUGGGGAAUAUUGCACAAUGGGCGCAAGCCUGAUGCAGCCAUGCCGCGUGUAUGAAGAAGGCCUUCGGGUUGUAAAGUACUUUCAGCGGGGAGGAAGGCGAUAAGGUUAAUAACCUUGUCGAUUGACGUUACCCGCAGAAGAAGCACCGGCUAACUCCGUGCCAGCAGCCGCGGUAAUACGGAGGGUGCAAGCGUUAAUCGGAAUUACUGGGCGUAAAGCGCACGCAGGCGGUCUGUCAAGUCGGAUGUGAAAUCCCCGGGCUCAACCUGGGAACUGCAUUCGAAACUGGCAGGCUAGAGUCUUGUAGAGGGGGGUAGAAUUCCAGGUGUAGCGGUGAAAUGCGUAGAGAUCUGGAGGAAUACCGGUGGCGAAGGCGGGCCCCCUGGACAAAGACUGACGC